This 447-nucleotide ribosomal RNA is filed under the name uncultured bacterium. RNAcentral describes it as "bacterial SSU rRNA". It matches the Rfam family "Bacterial small subunit ribosomal RNA", at positions 355 to 825 of the family's 1533-position model. The record is from RNAcentral.
UCGGGAAUUUUGGGCAAUGGGCGAAAGCCUGACCCAGCAACGCCGCGUGAAGGAUGAAGUAUUUCGGUAUGUAAACUUCGAAAGAAUAGGAAGAAUAAAUGACGGUACUAUUUAUAAGGUCCGGCUAACUACGUGCCAGCAGCCGCGGUAAUACGUAGGGACCAAGCGUUGUUCGGAUUUACUGGGCGUAAAGGGCGCGUAGGCGGCAAUUCAAGUCAUCUGUGAAAUCUCCGGGCUUAACUCGGAACGGUCAGAUGAUACUGCUUUGCUAGAGUGCAGAAGGGGCAAUCGGAAUUCUUGGUGUAGCGGUGAAAUGCGUAGAUAUAGGAAGGAACACCAGUGGCGAAGGCGACCACCUGGACUGAUACUGACACUGAGGUGCGAAAGCGUGGGGAGCAAACAGGAUUAGAUACCCAGGUAGUCCCUGAGCGGGCUGGCAAGGCGCAU